RNAcentral lists this ribosomal RNA (482 nucleotides) under uncultured bacterium. RNAcentral's name for it is "bacterial SSU rRNA". It matches the Rfam family "Bacterial small subunit ribosomal RNA", at positions 30 to 505 of the family's 1533-position model. The record is from RNAcentral.
AUUGAACGCUGGCGGCAGGCCUAACACAUGCAAGUCGAGCGCGAAAAUUCCUUCGGGGAUGAGUAGAGCGGCGGACGGGUGAGUAAUGCGCAGAAAUCUGCCCAGUAGUGGGGGACAACCUGGUGAAAACCAGGCUAAUACCGCAUACGCCCUACGGGGGAAAGCAGGGGAUCUUCGGACCUUGCGCUAUUGGAUGAGUCUGCGUCGGAUUAGCUUGUUGGUGAGGUAAUGGCUCACCAAGGCGACGAUCCGUAGCUGGUCUGAGAGGAUGAUCAGCCACACUGGGACUGAGACACGGCCCAGACUCCUACGGGAGGCAGCAGUGGGGAAUAUUGGACAAUGGGCGAAAGCCUGAUCCAGCCAUGCCGCGUGUGUGAAGAAGGCUCUAGGGUUGUAAAGCACUUUCAGUGGGGAAGAAGACUUGUUAGCUAAUAACUGACGAGUGUGACAUUUACCCACAGAAGAAGCACCGGCUAACUCCG